GACGUCGCAUGCUCCCGGCCGCCAUGGCGGCCGCGGGAAUUCGAUUAGAGUUUGAUCCUGGCUCAGAUUGAACGCUGGCGGCAGGCCUAACACAUGCAAGUCGAGCGGCAGCGGGGGGAAGCUUGCUUCCCCGCCGGCGAGCGGCGGACGGGUGAGUAAUGUCUGGGGAUCUGCCCGAUGGAGGGGGAUAACCACUGGAAACGGUGGCUAAUACCGCAUAACCUCUUUGGAGUAAAGUGGGGGACCUUCGGGCUUCACGCCAUCGGAUGAACCCAGAUGGGAUUAGCUAGUAGGUGGGGUAAUGGCUCACCUAGGCGACGAUCCCUAGCUGGUCUGAGAGGAUGACCAGCCACACUGGGACUGAGACACGGCCCAGACUCCUACGGGAGGCAGCAGUGGGGAAUAUUGCACAAUGGGCGCAAGCCUGAUGCAGCCAUGCCGCGUGUAUGAAGAAGGCCUUCGGGUUGUAAAGUACUUUCAGCGGGGAGGAAGGCAACAGCGUAAAUAGCGCUGUUGAUUGACGUUACCCGCAGAAGAAGCACCGGCUAACUCCGUGCCAGCAGCCGCGGUAAUACGAAUCACUAGUGAAUUCGCGGCCGCCUGCAGGUCGACCAUAUGGGAGAGC
RNAcentral lists this ribosomal RNA (625 nucleotides) under uncultured Gammaproteobacteria bacterium. RNAcentral describes it as "partial 16S ribosomal RNA". It matches the Rfam family "Bacterial small subunit ribosomal RNA", at positions 1 to 593 of the family's 1533-position model. Lineage: Bacteria; Pseudomonadati; Pseudomonadota; Gammaproteobacteria. The record is from RNAcentral.